Molecule: long non-coding RNA, 1735 nt
Organism: Mytilus californianus (California mussel)
Lineage: Eukaryota; Metazoa; Mollusca; Bivalvia; Mytilida; Mytilidae
Exons: 4
Source: RefSeq, a predicted model, not a curated record
AGGGCGAGGGAAGUAAAUGGACAACCAAUCAAUUGUCUUGUUAUGAAAGUGCAGUGAAGGUAGAGUAACUCCUGUUAAAAGUUUCUCUGUUAAGAACAAGUCCAAUCAUGAGAGUGUGAGGAAGGAAGGAAUCAAUACACAUCAACUAUUAUAACUUAGGUCAGUCUUAGAAUCUUAAACAAAACUAUAGUCAUUAUGAAUACCAACCUAAGAAGUCCAAUAUAAACCCUUUAAUAGGUUGACCCCACAAUGUUUUUUUUUAAUCUUGUACCCUUGGGUAGGUGUCUCAUUGACAAUGUUUUUUUUUCAAUCUUGUACCCUUGGGUAGGUGUCUCAUUGACAAUGUUUUUUUUCCAAUCAUAUACCCUUGGGUAGGUGUCUCAUUGACAAUGUUUUUUUUCCAAUCAUAUACCCUUGGGUAGGUGUCUCAUUGACAAUGUUUUUUUUAAUCUUGUACCCUUGAGUAGGUGUCUCAUUGACAAUGUUUUUUUUUAAUCUUGUACCCUUGGGUAGCUGUCUCAUUGACAAUGGUUUUUUUUAAUCUUGUACCCUUGGGUAGGUGUCUCAUUGACAAUGUUUUUUUUUCCAAUCAUAUACCCUUGGGUAGGUGUCUCAUUGACAAUGUUUUUUUUAAUCUUGUACCCUUGGGUAGGUGUCUCAUUGACAAUGUUUUUUUUAAUCUUGUGCCCUUGGGUAGGUGUCUCAUUGACAAUGUUUUUUUUCCAAUCAUAUACCCUUGGGUAGGUGUCUCAUUGACAAUGUUUUUUUUUAAUCUUGUACCCUUGGGUAGGUGUCUCAUUGACAAUAUUUUUUUUUAAUCUUGUACCCUUGGGUAGGUGUCUCAUUGACAAUUUUUUUUAAUCUUGUACCUUUAAGUAGGUGUCUCAUUGACAAUGUUUUUUUUUAAUCUUGUACCCUUGGGUAGGUGUCUCAUUGACAAUGUUUUUCUAAUCUUGUACCCUUGGGUAGGUGUCUCAUUGACAAUAUUUUUUUUUAAUCUUGUACCCUUGGGUAGGUGUCUCAUUGACAAUGUUUUUUUUUAAAUCUUGUACCUUUGGAUAGGUGUCUCAUUGACAUUUUUUUUUUAAUCUUGUUCCCUUGAGUAGGUGUCUCAUUGACAAUGUUUUUUUUUAAUCUUGUACCCUUGUGUAGGUGUCUCAUUGACAAUGUUUUUUUUUAAUCUUGUACCCUUGGGUAGGUGUCUCAUUGACAAUAUUUUUUUUUAAUCUUGUACCCUUGGGUAGGUGUCUCAUUGACAAUGUUUUUUUUUAAUCUUGUACCCUUGGAUAGGUGUCUCAUUGACAAUUUUGUUUAAUCUUGUACCCUUGUGUAGGUGUCUCAUUGACAAUGUUUUUUUUAAUCUUGUACCCUUGGGUAGGUGUCUCAUUGACAAUGUUUUUUUAAUCUUGUACCCUUGGGUAGGUGUCUCAUUGACAAUGGUUUUUUUAAUCUUGUACCCUUGGGUAGGUGUCUCAUUGACAAAGAUUUUUUUUAAUCUUGUACCCUUAGGUAGGUGUCUCAUUGACAAUGUUUUUUUUAAUCUUGUACCCUUUGGUAGGUGUCUCAUUGACAAUGUUUUUUUUUAAUCUUGUACCCUUGGGUAGGUGUCUCAUUGACAAUGUUUUUUUUUAAUCUUGUACCCUUGGGUAGGUGUCUCAUUGACAAUAUUUUUUUUUAAUCUUGUACCCUUGGGUAGGUGUCUCAUUGGUUUACACUCUACAUAUUCUUUUAUUAG